UAACAAGGAUUCCCCUAGUAACUGCGAGUGAAGCGGGAAAAGCUCAAAUUUAAAAUCUGGCGGCUUUGCCGUCCGAGUUGUAAUCUGGAGAAGCGUUUUCCGCGUCGGACCGUGUACAAGUCUCUUGGAACAGAGCGUCAUAGAGGGUGAGAAUCCCGUCCAUGACACGGAACCACCGAUGCUUUGUGAUACGCUCUCGAAGAGUCGAGUUGUUUGGGAAUGCAGCUCAAAAUGGGUGGUAAAUUCCAUCUAAAGCUAAAUAUUGGCGAGAGACCGAUAGCGAACAAGUACCGUGAGGGAAAGAUGAAAAGCACUUUGGAAAGAGAGUUAAACAGUACGUGAAAUUGUUGAAAGGGAAACGCUUGAAGUCAGUCGCGUCUUGCAGGACUCAGCCUUGCAUUUUCUUGUGUGUGGCGUACUUCCUGUAGGACGGGUCAACAUCGAUUUUGGUGGACGGACAAAGGGGGAAUGGGAAUGUGGCAGUCUUCGGGCUGUGUUUAUAGCCCUCUUCCAUAUACGUCGACUGGGAUCGAGGACCGCAGCGUUAAUGCGCUUAGGAUGUUGGCAUAAUGGCUUUAAGCGACCCGUCUUGAAACACGGACCAAGGAGUCUAACAUGCUUGCGAGUGUUAGGGUGGAAAACCCUUGCGCGUAAUGAAAGUGAAAGUUGAGAGCCUCCGCAAGGGGGUGCACCGACGCCCGGCCCUGAAGUUCUCUGACGGUGCUGCGGUAGAGCACGUAUGUUGGGACCCGAAAGAUGGUGAACUAUGCCUGAAUAGGGCGAAGCCAGAGGAAACUCUGGUGGAGGCUCGUAGCGAUUCUGACGUGCAAAUCGAUCGUCAAAUUUGGG
RNAcentral lists this ribosomal RNA (849 nucleotides) under Phellinidium asiaticum. RNAcentral's name for it is "LSU rRNA". It matches the Rfam family "Eukaryotic large subunit ribosomal RNA", at positions 66 to 915 of the family's 3401-position model. The record is from RNAcentral. Lineage: Eukaryota; Fungi; Basidiomycota; Agaricomycetes; Hymenochaetales; Hymenochaetaceae.